CAGCAUUCGCCGCGGUAAUACGUAGGGUGCAAGCGUUAAUCGGAAUUACUGGGCGUAAAGCGUGCGCAGGCGGUUUGUUAAGACAGAUGUGAAAUCCCCGGGCUCAACCUGGGAACUGCAUUUGUGACUGGCAAGCUAGAGUGUGGCAGAGGGGGGUGGAAUUCCGCGUGUAGCAGUGAAAUGCGUAGAUAUGCGGAGGAACACCGAUGGCGAAGGCAGCCCCCUGGGCCAACACUGACGCUCAUGCACGAAAGCGUGGGGAGCAAACAGGAUUAGAUACCCCAGUAGUCCCUGUCUCUUAUAC
Molecule: ribosomal RNA, 304 nt
Filed under: uncultured bacterium
Lineage: Bacteria
Description: partial 16S ribosomal RNA
Rfam family: Bacterial small subunit ribosomal RNA
Source: RNAcentral